ACUAUGGGUCCAAUGGUGGUAGAGCAUCCGCUUAGUAUGCAGAAAGCCCCAGGUUCAAUCCCUGAUAUCUGUA
RNAcentral lists this transfer RNA (73 nucleotides) under Sphaerodactylus townsendi. Its description in RNAcentral is "tRNA-Thr". Lineage: Eukaryota; Metazoa; Chordata; Lepidosauria; Squamata; Sphaerodactylidae. The record is from RNAcentral.